UUUCAUUCUUUUGAUACGCUUAUGGUUUUACAAAGAAGUGUUUUCAGAAAAAAAGUUUUUGGAAGUUUCUCCUUGCUGAUGUGGAUUGGCAGAGGGGUGCUGGGGACCAGUCCUCACCAUGGUGCCAGAGGAACCUGGAGCACCCCCAAAUUGCUCCUUUGGCAGGCCUGGGGUGACUGGGUCAUGAAUUAUCUCCUCAGUUUCCUGAGCUAGACUUAUCCUUCUUUCCAUUUCUGACAUUAGAUGGCAUGCACUCAAUUGAAACCUUGUAACUUCAGAGACUGCUUGCAUUUGGAUUAUAAGCAUGCAGCCAAAAAAAUGUCCUCAGCUGUAACCUCAGUGUUUAUUGGAUGCUAACCUCUCCAACAUGGGCGUUCUUCAUUUUCCCCUGGCAAUGGUGUUAACAUAUGAAACACUUUUAAAACAGCCCCUAGAUGAAGAGCCAGCUCUGCCCCUGGCCUUGUAGGCAGGUCUGCCACCAUAUGUGCUGGUUUUGAUGCCGUUAUGACCUUUGUUUAUGCUUCUGUCCUUUCUGUUUGGCAUGCAUUGAAGUAGGUGAUUUGCAGCUAAACAGAAUGUGUCUCAAGGCUUUGAGGGGCUAUAGGGUGUCCCUGGCCUCCCCCAGUCACAGGGCCUUAUCCCAAGGUGUUAAUCCCUAAUCUCAGCCUAGGUUUGCCUGGUCCCCAUGGAGAUCCCUGUGGACUGGGACUGCCAGCUGCCAUUUUCCUUUGGCCUUGCUGAGGCAGCACGGGACAGGCACUGUCGGACAUUUUGUGGUGCCCUCCCUGAGGGAGCAGCAGAUCAUUUCCUGCAACUAGCAGCAUCGGGUUCCUGCCUGGAGCACCUGAGAUGGCGGCCGUCUCCUCAGGAAGAUUUUUCAUUGGGUGUUGUGGUAAUUAAAGGCAAACAAGUCAUGUCUUGCCUUGGAUGAGAGAAGAUAAGAGCAGGACAAAAGAGGCUCAGGGUUAACUCUUUCCUUUGUUCUCAUCUAUCAAAGAAGAGAUUGCCAUACGUUUUCUCUACAUCUGCUGCUUAUAUU
Molecule: long non-coding RNA, 1039 nt
Filed under: Numida meleagris (helmeted guineafowl)
Lineage: Eukaryota; Metazoa; Chordata; Aves; Galliformes; Numididae
Description: lncRNA (ENSNMEG00000018607.1)
Source: RNAcentral